AAAGAUGAAAAGCACUUUGGAAAGAGAGUUAAACAGUACGUGAAAUCGUUGAAAGGGAAACGAUUGAAGUCAGUCGUGUUCUUUGGAUUCAGCUAGUUCUUCUAGUCUACUUCCUUUGAACGGGUCAACAUCAGUUUUGUCCGGUGGAUAAAGAUAGUAGGAAUGUAGCUCCCUCGGGAGUGUUAUAGACUAUUAUUGCAUGCACUGGGUGAGACUGAGGACUGCAGCUCGCCUUUUGGCCGGCUUCGGGUACGUUCGAGCUUAGGAUGUUGACAUAAUGGCUU
This 284-nucleotide ribosomal RNA is filed under the name Cutaneotrichosporon moniliiforme. RNAcentral describes it as "26S ribosomal RNA". It matches the Rfam family "Eukaryotic large subunit ribosomal RNA", at positions 360 to 640 of the family's 3401-position model. Lineage: Eukaryota; Fungi; Basidiomycota; Tremellomycetes; Trichosporonales; Trichosporonaceae. The record is from RNAcentral.